RNAcentral lists this transfer RNA (85 nucleotides) under Elusimicrobiota bacterium. RNAcentral's name for it is "tRNA-Ser". It matches the Rfam family "tRNA". Rfam says of the family: Transfer RNA (tRNA) molecules are approximately 80 nucleotides in length. Their secondary structure includes four short double-helical elements and three loops (D, anti-codon, and T loops). Further hydrogen bonds mediate the characteristic L-shaped molecular structure. tRNAs have two regions of fundamental functional importance: the anti-codon, which is responsible for specific mRNA codon recognition, and the 3' end, to which the tRNAs corresponding amino acid is attached (by aminoacyl-tRNA synthetases). tRNAs cope with the degeneracy of the genetic code in two manners: having more than one tRNA (with a specific anti-codon) for a particular amino acid; and 'wobble' base-pairing, i.e. permitting non-standard base-pairing at the 3rd anti-codon position. The record is from RNAcentral. Lineage: Bacteria; Pseudomonadati; Elusimicrobiota.
GGAGAGGUGUGUGAGCGGUUGAAACAGCAGGUCUCGAAAACCUGUAGCCCGCAAGGGCUCGAGAGUUCGAAUCUCUCCCUCUCCG